This 251-nucleotide ribosomal RNA is filed under the name uncultured bacterium. Its description in RNAcentral is "partial 16S ribosomal RNA". It matches the Rfam family "Bacterial small subunit ribosomal RNA", at positions 1251 to 1500 of the family's 1533-position model. The record is from RNAcentral.
GAGCCGGUGACGGUGGGCGAAUCCCAAAAAUAAACGUCCCAGUUCGGAUUGUAGUCUGCAACCCGACUACAUGAAGCUGGAAUCGCUAGUAAUCGCGGAUCAGAAUGCCGCGGUGAAUACGUUCCCGGGUCUUGUACACACCGCCCGUCACACCAUGGGAGUCGGAAAUGCCCGAAGUCUGUGACCGAACCGAAAGGGAGGAGCAGCCGAAGGCAGGUCGGAUGACUGGGGUGAAGUCGUAACAAGGUACC